CCUACGGGAGGCAGCAGUGAGGAAUAUUGGACAAUGGUCGAAAGACUGAUCCAGCCAUGCCGCGUGCAGGAAGACGGCCCUAUGGGUUGUAAACUGCUUUUGUUUGGGAAGAAACCUUUCUACGUGUAGAAAGCUGACGGUACCAUACGAAUAAGCACCGGCUAACUCCGUGCCAGCAGCCGCGGUAAUACGGAGGGUGCAAGCGUUAUCCGGAUUUAUUGGGUUUAAAGGGUCCGUAGGCGGACUUAUAAGUCAGUGGUGAAAUCCUGCAGCUCAACUGUAGAACUGCCAUUGAUACUGUAAGUCUUGAAUUCGGUUGAAGUGGGCGGAAUAUGGCAUGUAGCGGUGAAAUGCUUAGAUAUGCCAUAGAACACCGAUUGCGUAGGCAGCUCACUAAGCCUGGAUUGACGCUGAGGGACGAAAGCGUGGGUAGCGAACAGGAUUAGAUACCCUGGUAGUCCACGCCGUAAACGAUGAUUACUCGACAUUAGNGAUACACGUAGUGUNAUAAGACGAAGACGAUUAAGUAAGUACCACCGUCGGGUAAGGUACGUUACGUUCGAAGAAGUUAGAAACGUAACGAAAGGAAGUUAGACGGCGNGAGAGNGCGACGGACGACGACGAGGGAGGAGGAG
Molecule: ribosomal RNA, 635 nt
Filed under: uncultured bacterium
Lineage: Bacteria
Description: bacterial SSU rRNA
Rfam family: Bacterial small subunit ribosomal RNA (bases 1-538)
Source: RNAcentral